Molecule: ribosomal RNA, 235 nt
Filed under: uncultured bacterium
Lineage: Bacteria
Description: partial 16S ribosomal RNA
Rfam family: Bacterial small subunit ribosomal RNA
Source: RNAcentral
CGGACGGGUGAGUAACGCGUGGGUAACCUGCCCUGUACAGGGGGAUAACAGCUGGAAACGGCUGCUAAUACCGCAUAAGCGCACGAGGGGACAUCUCCUUGUGUGAAAAACUCCGGUGGUACAGGAUGGGCCCGCGUCUGAUUAGCUGGUUGGCAGGGUAACGGCCUACCAAGGCAACGAUCAGUAGCCGGUCUGAGAGGAUGAACGGCCACAUUGGAAUUGAGACACGGUCCAA